This 714-nucleotide ribosomal RNA is filed under the name Escherichia coli. Its description in RNAcentral is "partial 23S ribosomal RNA". It matches the Rfam family "Bacterial large subunit ribosomal RNA", at positions 419 to 1134 of the family's 2925-position model. Lineage: Bacteria; Pseudomonadati; Pseudomonadota; Gammaproteobacteria; Enterobacterales; Enterobacteriaceae. The record is from RNAcentral.
GGGACACGUGGUAUCCUGUCUGAAUAUGGGGGGACCAUCCUCCAAGGCUAAAUACUCCUGACUGACCGAUAGUGAACCAGUACCGUGAGGGAAAGGCGAAAAGAACCCCGGCGAGGGGAGUGAAAAAGAACCUGAAACCGUGUACGUACAAGCAGUGGGAGCCUCUUAAUGGGGUGACUGCGUACCUUUUGUAUAAUGGGUCAGCGACUUAUAUUCUGUAGCAAGGUUAACCGAAUAGGGGAGCCGAAGGGAAACCGAGUCUUAACUGGGCGUUAAGUUGCAGGGUAUAGACCCGAAACCCGGUGAUCUAGCCAUGGGCAGGUUGAAGGUUGGGUAACACUAACUGGAGGACCGAACCGACUAAUGUUGAAAAAUUAGCGGAUGACUUGUGGCUGGGGGUGAAAGGCCAAUCAAACCGGGAGAUAGCUGGUUCUCCCCGAAAGCUAUUUAGGUAGCGCCUCGUGAAUUCAUCUCCGGGGGUAGAGCACUGUUUCGGCAAGGGGGUCAUCCCGACUUACCAACCCGAUGCAAACUGCGAAUACCGGAGAAUGUUAUCACGGGAGACACACGGCGGGUGCUAACGUCCGUCGUGAAGAGGGAAACAACCCAGACCGCCAGCUAAGGUCCCAAAGUCAUGGUUAAGUGGGAAACGAUGUGGGAAGGCCCAGACAGCCAGGAUGUUGGCUUAGAAGCAGCCAUCAUUUAAAGAAAGCG